UACGUAGGGGGCGAGCGUUGUCCGGAUUUAUUGGGCGUAAAGAGCGUGUAGGCGGCCUGACAAGUCUGCUGUGAAAACUCGAGGCUCAACCUCGAGAUGUCGGCGGAAACUGUCUGGCUAGAGUCCGGAAGAGGAGAGUGGAAUUCCUGGUGUAGCGGUGAAAUGCGCAGAUAUCAGGAAGAACACCUAUGGCGAAGGCAGCUCUCUGGGACGGUACUGACGCUGAGACGCGAAAGCGUGGGGAGCGAACGGG
Molecule: ribosomal RNA, 253 nt
Filed under: uncultured bacterium
Lineage: Bacteria
Description: partial 16S ribosomal RNA
Rfam family: Bacterial small subunit ribosomal RNA
Source: RNAcentral